RNAcentral lists this ribosomal RNA (869 nucleotides) under uncultured Enterobacteriaceae bacterium. Its description in RNAcentral is "bacterial SSU rRNA". It matches the Rfam family "Bacterial small subunit ribosomal RNA". The record is from RNAcentral. Lineage: Bacteria; Pseudomonadati; Pseudomonadota; Gammaproteobacteria; Enterobacterales; Enterobacteriaceae.
AUUGAACGCUGGCGGCAGGCCUAACACAUGCAAGUCGGACGGUAGCACAGAGAGCUUGCUCUCGGGUGACGAGUGGCGGACGGGUGAGUAAUGUCUGGGGAUCUGCCCGAUAGAGGGGGAUAACCACUGGAAACGGUGGCUAAUACCGCAUAACGUCGCAAGACCAAAGAGGGGGACCUUCGGGCCUCUCACUAUCGGAUGAACCCAGAUGGGAUUAGCUAGUAGGCGGGGUAACGGCCCACCUAGGCGACGAUCCCUAGCUGGUCUGAGAGGAUGACCAGCCACACUGGAACUGAGACACGGUCCAGACUCCUACGGGAGGCAGCAGUGGGGAAUAUUGCACAAUGGGCGCAAGCCUGAUGCAGCCAUGCCGCGUGUAUGAAGAAGGCCUUCGGGUUGUAAAGUACUUUCAGCGGGGAGGAAGGCGAUGUGGUUAAUAACCGCAUUGAUUGACGUUACCCGCAGAAGAAGCACCGGCUAACUCCGUGCCAGCAGCCGCGGUAAUACGGAGGGUGCAAGCGUUAAUCGGAAUUACUGGGCGUAAAGCGCACGCAGGCGGUCUGUUAAGUCAGAUGUGAAAUCCCCGGGCUUAACCUGGGAACUGCAUUUUGAAACUGGCAGGCUUAAGUCUCGUAGAGGGGGGUAGAAUUCCAGGUGUAGCGGUGAAAUGCGUAGAGAUCUGGAGGAAUACCGGUGGCGAAGGCGGCCCCCUGGACGAAGACUGACGCUCAGUUGCGAAGCUUGGGAAGCAAACAGGAUCAGAUAUCUGGGAUCCAGGGCGAAUUCCAUAGGGAUAUCACGCUAUCGAUACCGCGGCCUCUAGGUGUUAUGAACUGUACCAUUUUUUUUCGCUUUAGGGAGGGUUAAUA